AAGGCCGCUGGGAACGGGCCACCACUGCCCUUCCCGCCUGGUUCCCCAAAGACUCUCAGACAGGGUUCCCUCUCUCCAGCCCUGACCGAGUCUUCACCUCCUGUGUCCCAAACUGCCUUUUGCUGACUUUCUCUGCACCCCCCACGCCCUUGUACACCUUCCCCCUCUGGCCAUCCCUCCUGGGGUCCCACAAAGCUCUGCUUCCUGGGGUCACCCAACCUCUCCUUCACCCACACCAUCAACCCCAAGCCUGGAAUCCUGACCAGCCAGCCCUCCUGGCUCCCUGGUUGCCAGGCCUUCAUGCUUGUCACCCCCACUGCUACUUCAGGGUCCCGAAGCCCACUUCUGCUGGCAGCCACCUUGACCGCACCUGGAGCAGACCCCACCUGAACACGAAGCCACAGCAGAGGGAGGCAGAGCCAAGGGGACGGAAGAGUGGGCUGAGUCCUGAUCAACAUUGUCUGAGUCCCCGAUCCAGCCCUGCCUGAAGGUAUUGGGCUAAAAGCGCUUUGCAUGCUCCCCUGACUUCCACCAGAAUCCUGAGACCUGAGAAUCGUCAGCCUCACUUUCAGAUGAGGAUACUGAGAGUCGGAUUCAUCAAGGCUGUUUCCCACAACUCGUGAGCAGAAGAUCCAGGAUGUGAACUUCGGAGUUACACGCCACUGCCCUCUCUGUGAGAAGCCUGAGGCACAGCCUCCAUGGCGAUGAAGGCUGGAUACAAACCUGGUUCCAGAGUCUGCGGUGGAGACAGGCAACCUGUAGGCCUCUCCUAUGUCACCCCGCAGUCCAAGUUUCCUGACCCCCAGAACAAAGGGGUUGACCUGAGCCAAGUUUCCUCGCUCAGGGCCGUGGAGGACAGAGUGGGGUCACUACCUGCCCAGACACUUCUCCCCUGCUGGGCCCCAGUGCUGCACACAGGGUGUACGUUCAGCAAAAUGAAGUCAGAUCCCCAGGAGCCACUGCUGGCCGAGCGUGGCUCUGCACGAGGCUGGCACAUGCGUCGCUGGCAGCACACUCGCAGCCUGGCGCGUGCAUCUCCGUGUCACAGAUGAGGAGAUGAGGUGGAGAGAAGUGAAGCCACUUGUCUCAACACACAGGACUCUUACGGACAGAGCCAGGACCCCAGCUCAGGUCUGCCCACUCCCGAGCCUGACCCCCGGCCUCGGACACACACCGCAGCUCUGAGCAAGUGCCAGGCCCGGGCAUUUCAUGUAACCUUGGCAACUCCCCAUUUUAUGGGCGAGGACACUUAGGCCAAUGCCUGCAACCACAUGGCUCAAAACUGGGGGGUUGGGUUUGGAACCUAUUCAGGUUGCCCUGAAGUCUGUAUUGCUUUGACCACCUUAUUCCCCAGGUUCCUCCGUAAAUCCAUCCAAAUAAUGUUGAGACACUUGGGUGACACACUCCCCCGCCGCCUGGAACACCCAGCAUGGACCACUGGCCUCCCCCACCUGUGCUCCAGAUCAGAGCAGAUCAGAACCUCCCUCCCUCUGCACUGCCAAGAGGUAGAAAACGGGGUCAGAGGCGCCCGCAGGAGAGGAGCGAGUGCAGAUGACAGCCCGUGGCUGGCGGGCCUGCGGGUAGGUGGGAGGGACGGGGUUAGUGUCCAGGCCAGGCUGACCCACUUGGGGACUUUUCCUUCUCUUUGAGCUUUCCUCGGUGGUCUCCUCCCCGCCCACAGGUCUGGCUGAGCGGGCUUGACCCCGCCCAGCGGCCACCAGGACGCUGCU
Long non-coding RNA from Talpa occidentalis (Iberian mole), 1730 nucleotides. RefSeq lists it as uncharacterized. NCBI's taxonomy places the organism in Eukaryota, Metazoa, Chordata, Mammalia, Eulipotyphla, Talpidae. The record is from RefSeq and is a predicted model, not a curated record. The transcript has 5 exons.